RNAcentral lists this non-coding RNA (22 nucleotides) under Gossypium hirsutum (cotton). The record is from RNAcentral. Lineage: Eukaryota; Viridiplantae; Streptophyta; Magnoliopsida; Malvales; Malvaceae.
CCAUUUGGAUUGUCACGUAGGA